Molecule: ribosomal RNA, 253 nt
Filed under: uncultured bacterium
Lineage: Bacteria
Description: partial 16S ribosomal RNA
Rfam family: Bacterial small subunit ribosomal RNA
Source: RNAcentral
UACGUAGGGGGCAAGCGUUGUCCGGAAUCAUUGGGCGUAAAGCGCGCGUAGGCGGCCCGGUAAGUCCGCUGUAAAAGUCCAGGGCUCAACCCUGGAAAGCCGGUGGAUACUGCCGGGCUAGAGUCCGGAAGAGGCGAGUGGAAUUCCACGUGUAGCAGUGAAAUGCGUAGAGAUGUGGAGGAAUACCGAUGGCGAAGGCAGCCCCCUGGGAUAACACUGACGCUCAUGCACGAAAGCGUGGGGAGCAAACAGG